RNAcentral lists this long non-coding RNA (205 nucleotides) under Mytilus galloprovincialis (Mediterranean mussel). Lineage: Eukaryota; Metazoa; Mollusca; Bivalvia; Mytilida; Mytilidae. The record is from RNAcentral.
GAUCUUGAUAAGCGUAGUGAGGUCGCAGAAUAAGAGCGGCGAGAACGCAGUAUAAUCGUAGCGAGAUCGUUGUAGAAGCGUAAUGAGGACGUAGUAGCAUCGUGAAAGCAACGAACAUUUACAUUUUCAUGCCGCUCAUACCACGACCUCACCACGAUCUGAAUUUAUUUUAGAUCGCGGUGAGCGUGGUGCGAUCGUGGUCUAG